GGAGUUGUAGCUCAGUGGUAGAGUACUUGCCUAGCACGUGUGAGGCACUGGGUUCAAUCCUCAGCACCA
RNAcentral lists this transfer RNA (69 nucleotides) under Ictidomys tridecemlineatus (thirteen-lined ground squirrel). RNAcentral describes it as "Spermophilus tridecemlineatus (thirteen-lined ground squirrel) tRNA". It matches the Rfam family "tRNA". From Rfam's summary of the family: Transfer RNA (tRNA) molecules are approximately 80 nucleotides in length. Their secondary structure includes four short double-helical elements and three loops (D, anti-codon, and T loops). Lineage: Eukaryota; Metazoa; Chordata; Mammalia; Rodentia; Sciuridae. RNAcentral also lists the same sequence under 1 other name. The record is from Rfam by way of RNAcentral.